This 73-nucleotide transfer RNA is filed under the name Diaphorina citri (Asian citrus psyllid). It matches the Rfam family "tRNA". Rfam says of the family: Transfer RNA (tRNA) molecules are approximately 80 nucleotides in length. Their secondary structure includes four short double-helical elements and three loops (D, anti-codon, and T loops). Lineage: Eukaryota; Metazoa; Arthropoda; Insecta; Hemiptera; Psyllidae. The record is from Rfam by way of RNAcentral.
GCCUAGUUAGCUCAGUUGGUAGUGCGUCUGCCUUGUAAGCCCUAGGCCGCGGGUUCGAUUCCCGCCCGGGGCU